GACGAACGCUGGCGGCGUGCUUAACACAUGCAAGUCGAACGGAAAGGCCCUGCUUUUGUUGUGUUCUCGAUUGGCGAACGUGUGUGUAACACGUGUGUAACCUUCCCUUUACUUUGUGAUAUCUUCUGGAAACUGGGGCUAAUACCGGAUAGGAUCUCCUGCUGCAUGGUGUGUGUUGGUAAGUUUCGGCGGUUGGGGAUGUACUCGCGGCUUAUCAGCUUGUUGGUGGGGUAGUGGCUUACCAAGGCUUUGACGGGUAGGCGGCCUGAGAGGGUGACCGGGGAAAAGGGGACUGAGAGAGGGAACAGAAGGGAAGGGGAGGAAGGAGGGGGGAAGAGUGCAAAAUGGGGGGAAGGGAGAUGAAGAAAGGCAGGGAGCGGGAAGAAGGGAUACGGGUUGAAAAAAGAAUUAGAAUGUGAAGAAGAGUGAGUGACGGUAAUGGGUAAAGAAGCACCGGCUAACUACGUG
Molecule: ribosomal RNA, 468 nt
Filed under: uncultured bacterium
Lineage: Bacteria
Description: partial 16S ribosomal RNA
Rfam family: Bacterial small subunit ribosomal RNA
Source: RNAcentral